CAGCUCAAAUUUGAAUCUGGCUCUCGGGCCCGAGUUGUAAUUUGUAGAGGAUACUUUUGAUGCGGUGCCUUCCGAGUUCCCUGGAACGGGACGCCAUAGAGGGUGAGAGCCCCGUCUGGUUGGAUGCCAAAUCUCUGUAAAGUUCCUUCAACGAGUCGAGUAGUUUGGGAAUGCUGCUCUAAAUGGGAGGUAUAUGUCUUCUAAAGCUAAAUACCGGCCAGAGACCGAUAGCGCACAAGUAGAGUGAUCGAAAGAUGAAAAGCACUUUGAAAAGAGAGUUAAAAAGUACGUGAAAUUGUUGAAAGGGAAGCGUUUAUGACCAGACUUGGGCUUGGUUAAUCAUCUGGGGUUCUCCCCAGUGCACUUUUCCAGCUCAGGCCAGCAUCAGUUUUCCCCGGGGGAUAAAGGCGGAGGGAAUGUGGCUCUCUUCGGGGAGUGUUAUAGCCCACCGUGUAAUACCCUGGGGGGGACUGCGGUUCGCGCUCUGCAAGGAUGCGGCGUAAGGUACACUUUGUUGAA
This 519-nucleotide ribosomal RNA is filed under the name Fusarium oxysporum. RNAcentral's name for it is "LSU rRNA". It matches the Rfam family "Eukaryotic large subunit ribosomal RNA", at positions 104 to 621 of the family's 3401-position model. The record is from RNAcentral. Lineage: Eukaryota; Fungi; Ascomycota; Sordariomycetes; Hypocreales; Nectriaceae.